UGGGGAAUUUUUCGCAAUGGGGGAAACCCUGACGAAGCAACGCCGCGUGGGGGAUGAAGGUCUUCGGAUCGUAAACCCCUGUCGACCGGGACGAAAGCACUCGACCUAACACGUCGAGCUGUUGACUGUACCGGUGGAGGAAGCCACGGCUAACUCUGUG
This 160-nucleotide ribosomal RNA is filed under the name uncultured bacterium. Its description in RNAcentral is "partial 16S ribosomal RNA". It matches the Rfam family "Bacterial small subunit ribosomal RNA", at positions 355 to 507 of the family's 1533-position model. The record is from RNAcentral.